RNAcentral lists this long non-coding RNA (231 nucleotides) under Polistes fuscatus (common paper wasp). RNAcentral's name for it is "uncharacterized LOC122521808". The record is from RNAcentral. Lineage: Eukaryota; Metazoa; Arthropoda; Insecta; Hymenoptera; Vespidae.
CUUUUGCAUUGCUUAUUAAUCAUAACGAGUGUAAACAAUUGAGGAAGAUUAGCAUCUAAUAUAAUUGCUUCGUGAAUUGGAAAAAACGUUGGCACAAGUGUAUAAUAUCUGAUGGGGAUUACUUUGAAAGGAACAAAGGGGGCUGUGGCAUCAUUAUUGUGUUGUUUUUGACCAAAAAUUCGGGCACAAGCAACGAUGUGUGAGCGGGAGCGUUAUCAUGGUGCAAAAGCC